GGUGCAAGCGUUAAUCGGAAUUACUGGGCGUAAAGCGCACGCAGGCGGUCUGUCAAGUCGGAUGUGAAAUCCCCGGGCUCAACCUGGGAACUGCAUUCGAAACUGGCAGGCUUGAGUCUUGUAGAGGGGGGUAGAAUUCCAGGUGUAGCGGUGAAAUGCGUAGAGAUCUGGAGGAAUACCGGUGGCGAAGGCGGCCCCCUGGACAAAGACUGACGCUCAGGUGCGAAAGCGUGGGGAGCAAACAGGAUUAGAUACCCUGGUAGUCCACGCCGUAAACGAUGUCUACUUGGAGGUUGUGCCCUUGAGGCGUGGCUUCCGGAG
This 321-nucleotide ribosomal RNA is filed under the name Salmonella enterica. RNAcentral describes it as "bacterial SSU rRNA". It matches the Rfam family "Bacterial small subunit ribosomal RNA", at positions 531 to 851 of the family's 1533-position model. The record is from RNAcentral. RNAcentral also lists the same sequence under 1 other name. Lineage: Bacteria; Pseudomonadati; Pseudomonadota; Gammaproteobacteria; Enterobacterales; Enterobacteriaceae.